CACGCCGUAAACGAUGAGUACUACGUGUCGGGAUAACCCGGUGCUGCAGUUAACGCAUUAAGUACUCCGCCUGAGUAGUACGUGCGCAAGCAUAAAACUCAAAGGAAUUGGCGGGACCUCGCACAAGCGGUGGAUCAUGUUGUUUAAUUCGACGAUACGCGAAGAACCUGACCAGGCCUUGACAUACCGAGCAAUGCUAUGGAGACAUAGUGGAGGUUAGCUGGGAUACAGGUGG
This 235-nucleotide ribosomal RNA is filed under the name uncultured Acholeplasma sp. Its description in RNAcentral is "partial 16S ribosomal RNA". It matches the Rfam family "Bacterial small subunit ribosomal RNA", at positions 796 to 1041 of the family's 1533-position model. The record is from RNAcentral. Lineage: Bacteria; Bacillati; Mycoplasmatota; Mollicutes; Acholeplasmatales; Acholeplasmataceae.